GGGAGCUUGCUCCCUGAAGUCAGCGGCGGACGGGUGAGUAACACGUGGGCAACCUGCCUGUAAGACUGGGAUAACUCCGGGAAACCGGGGCUAAUACCGGAUAAUUCUUUUCCUCUCAUGAGGAAAAACUGAAAGAU
This 137-nucleotide ribosomal RNA is filed under the name Bacillus sp. KK21. RNAcentral describes it as "partial 16S ribosomal RNA". It matches the Rfam family "Bacterial small subunit ribosomal RNA", at positions 74 to 209 of the family's 1533-position model. Lineage: Bacteria; Bacillati; Bacillota; Bacilli; Caryophanales; Bacillaceae. The record is from RNAcentral.